AUAUACCGCAGAUUCGCAGAGCUCGUCGCUUCUCUGGCUCUCUACCUCGCGUCCUCGCUGCUUCUUCCGUCCCUGCCUACCGGAGUUCCGGCGUCCGGCCUACAGCAGGAGCGCCGGCAACACCACUCAGCCGCCUCAGCGCCUCUUGUCUCCUCUCAGUGCUGGACUUUGGUGUGCAAUUCAGUGGCCUAUUUGAGCGUUAUUCCUUGAUUACUUUGAAGACAUUGGAAUCAAACUAACCUGGGGAAUAGGAAAAUUGUAAGAUUAAAGCUCCAGACCUUCAAGAAAUGGCUGACAAAUUGGCCCCUGAGAAGCACCACAGCUUCAUCCACAAUGGUCAGAAGGUCUUUGAAUGGGACCAAACACUUGAAGAGUUGAAUAUUUAUAUCAAUCUCCCGGAAAAUGUUCCCAAAAAGCUAUUCUAUUGUAAAAUCGAGUCCAAACAUUUGGUAGUUGGGAUUAAAGGCAACCCUCCUUACCUCAAUCAUGACCUUACCAAUCAUGUGAAGACAGAUUGCUCAUUCUGGACUUUAGAGGAUGAUAUAAUGCACGUAACCCUUCAGAAGAGGGAUAAAGGCCAGACAUGGUCUUCUCCUAUCAUGGGUCAAGGUCAGUUGGAUCCGUACACCACAGACCUUGAACAGAAGCGCCUCAUGCUUCAAAGGUUCCAAGAAGAGAAUCCUGGCUUUGAUUUUUCACAAGCACAGUUCAAUGGCAAUUGCCCUGAUCCAAGGUCCUUCAUGGGUGGGAUCCGAUCUACUUAACUUUGAAAGUAAUGUAUCUUCACUCUGAUUCAUCUCUGAGUCUCGGCUUACUGCUGUCUCUAGUGGAUGCCAUGCCAAAACUGGAUUUGUGCGAUUGUUAGAUUGCAGGGGAAUAUGGGCUUGACACUGUUGGAGGGAAGCUCGUCUUAGGAUUUGGUGUAGUUUGGUGGUCUAUAGCUACAGCCCUCACACCAAUUGCAGCAAAACUCAGGGUUACCUUUCUUAUUUGUUCGAGCUAGCUUUAAUAUAAUGGGGAUUGGUGAGUCUCCUGCCUUGUACGUACUACAAGUUGCCAUUAGUGGCUCCAAGUCAACAAGCAACCGGCCCUUGAUACAUUCAUUACUUUCUGCUGAGCCAAUUCCAUUUUCUCGAUCUGUUCCAGGCCAGGGUGUUGCUGGGGCCAGCAAUGAAUAAUCUUCUUUCAAAGUGGCUGGGUUCCUGGGCUGUCUCAGAAAGAAGCAGGUGAUUGGCCCUGGUGUAGAGUGGAAUGUAUCUUGGAUCUGUCACUAGUCUGGCAUAUAUUCCUUUGGUUCCUUGGGCACUGUUUGGUUCACAGUAAGGUAGACAUUGAACUGUAUGCAGUAUGCUUAUAAUAUUUUGUUUGAUUGACGGGAUUUUUUAAAACUCCACCUGCCUUCUAAUUAUUAGUUAGUUGUGGAGAGAAGCAGCAUCUAUAUACAAUUAAAUUAGUUAGUUGUGGAAAGAAGCAGCAUCUACAUAUAUAGAUGCAUACUGUGCAAUCUCGCAAUGGUUAUACUGUACUGUGAAUUGAAAAUUAAUCUACACAUUUUAUAUAUGUACCUUA
This is an RNA transcript of Ipomoea triloba (trilobed morning glory), 1569 nucleotides long. It is a transcript of the gene named nudC domain-containing protein 2-like, with no coding region annotated. The record is from RefSeq and is a predicted model, not a curated record. The transcript has 8 exons. NCBI's taxonomy places the organism in Eukaryota, Viridiplantae, Streptophyta, Magnoliopsida, Solanales, Convolvulaceae.